UCCCUCCAAAGACAACUCUGCAUAUUAGAUAUCCUCAUAUGUCUGUUCCCAUUUACCCUUGCCUACUUUAUUACUGAGCCAUCUGAUUCUAUCUUACUCUAGUUGGUCACUGUCAAAGAACCUACACAUUAUUUCAGUUCGUGCGAUCCUUCAAUUUGCACACUGCCUACCCCAGCUGCCCAAAUGUGGCAACGCUUUUGUUUCUAUGGCAUCUUCUCUGUUACUUGGAAAGACCCUGAGGCCCUGGAUGACUCCAGCACACCCCACCCACGCUUGCUUUGAGUCCAGUUUCUAUGUUGUACUAUGAGGUCAUCUCCCAGGACACUGCUGGGGCCAGCUGCAAUACAAAAGGGAAGCAAUGCAAACUUAAACCAAAAAGCAAACCAAACAGGACAUCAAUUUCAAGCCUCAAGACUGCAACUGUCAGUACAGAGUAACAGACCACAUCAGCCAUUUUUAUAAGAAAAUAUAUGAAGCUAUCAAAUACUAAGUGAUGAGCAGCUCAUGCAUGGCCCACAGUCAGAAGCAGCUUUAUUCUGGCUCUAGCAGCCUGGAGCUGGGAGAAUGCAAUAGAUUGAAGCAGUCACCAUUGCCAGUCAGCUCUGGCUGCUCCCUUCUCUCUGAGGGGUCCAAGUAGAGGAAAAAUCUUGGUCCACAAUACAAGUUCAGCAUCUAGAAAAUCCAGUGUUACUGGCUCCUGGGAUUUAGGAUUCUGAAGCAGAAGACAUUGAAUAAUCAAAUAAUAGAGACAUGAAGAAUUAUGACUUUGUCAAUUAUUUUAUUUCAUUGGAUGAAGAGGCUAAUUGAGCAGGAGAAAAUCGGAUUAUCCCUAACAACUAGUGGCUGUCCACAGUCUGCCAAGUGGGGGGUUCGUGUUGGGAAGCUGCUUCUGCUGCUGCUGGUCUGCCACAGUAAGGUGAGAAAAGAAGUGUCCGGGGGAGCUUCAGAGAUUAAUCAUCCAUUAUGCAUCCUGACUCUGCAAAGGGAAAGCUGGGAGAGCUUUCUAACUGACCAUUAACAUGGGACAAUUGUACUACUUUGCAAUUUUGCCAAAAGCAACAGUGCAGACUGUUUCAAGACUCAAAGGGGCAGCCAUUGUAACAAAGGAUUUAUUAUAACAAAAUACAAUUUAUUUUAUUGUGAACAUUAGAUUUCCCUGAGCACCUGGAAGCUUUGCAUGCAUUUCUCUUGAUUGUGUUCCCCAUUUAAGAGAUGGAAACCUACAACAGAGAAAUUCUGUGACAUGGCGCCUUUAAGAUGCAAGGAAGCUGUGAUGCUCACUAUCUACUGUGAUGCUGACCAACACAGAGAAGCUAGUGGCAUGUAUCUUCCAUGUUGUUCAGGUUCUGGGUCCAGUUUUUCUGAACUACCUUCAGCAAUCCAGCAGGCUCUGCUCCCUUCUCAGUUGCAGUUCCCAUUUAAUUGAACAGAGCUGUCUUCCACAUAAACUUUCUGGAAUCUGA
Coturnix japonica (Japanese quail) is the source of this 1463-nucleotide non-coding RNA. NCBI's taxonomy places the organism in Eukaryota, Metazoa, Chordata, Aves, Galliformes, Phasianidae. The record is from RefSeq and is a predicted model, not a curated record.